RNAcentral lists this unclassified non-coding RNA (356 nucleotides) under Acacia leptoneura. RNAcentral's name for it is "partial external transcribed spacer". Lineage: Eukaryota; Viridiplantae; Streptophyta; Magnoliopsida; Fabales; Fabaceae. The record is from RNAcentral.
ACCGAACGGUCGGAGGCGAUCCGCGUCGGUCGCGCUGGGUGGUAUGGUUCCCCAGAGGCCGGUUCUUGUGCUGCCUACCCCUUCAAGGGAAGCGGGCCACUUGAUGUGAAGCCUCCAUCCCGCGCCUUCCAAGGGGCGCAGGAGGACAACGGGGCACCCCCCGCGUUCCACCGGGCCCCCUCGGUCGCGUGGCGCGCGGGGACGUGCGAUGCUCUCGGACCCAGCGAACGCCGUGGGCGAGGACUCACGUCCCAGUCCCGAAAGAAAGUUCCAAAUAAAGCUGACGGCCCCUCCCCUCCCCCCGACCGCCCCGGCGGCGCGGGGGCGAGGCGCGGCGUCGCGGAGGAAUGCUACCU